UCAGUGGAAAGCAUGCAUCCAGGGUGUGGAGCCAAAAUUAGAAGGGCCAAAAUUCUACCUGGCCCACUACCACAGCAACCUUGGGCAUCGUGUUCUUUUGA
MicroRNA precursor from Gorilla gorilla gorilla (western lowland gorilla), 101 nucleotides. Lineage: Eukaryota; Metazoa; Chordata; Mammalia; Primates; Hominidae. The record is from Ensembl.